This 17-nucleotide transfer RNA is filed under the name Meristogenys whiteheadi (Whitehead's Borneo frog). RNAcentral describes it as "partial tRNA-Trp". The record is from RNAcentral. Lineage: Eukaryota; Metazoa; Chordata; Amphibia; Anura; Ranidae. RNAcentral also lists the same sequence under 1 other name.
AAACUUAGGCUAACAUA